AACUUCCUUCGAGAAGGAUUUCUGCCCUUGCCAGCCGAGCGAACUCUCCAGAAAAGGAUAGAAGGAGUCAAGUUUCAGACAGGGCUUCUUCGAGAACUUCUUCCUGCAGUGGAGUGCAAAGUUGCAACUAUGGGUCCCCAAGAGCGACACUGUGUGCUGCUCAUGGAUGAGAUGCAGCUGACACCUGGCCUGGAGUAUGACUGCACAACAAAGACCGUGAUUGGGCAAACAACUUUGAAAGGCUGCAAGCUGCCGAGCAAUGAUGGCAUCGUAACCUUUGCAACGCAUGGGCUGGUGUUUAUGCUGGCCGGUCUAUCCACAAGGUGGAAACAAGUCAUUGGUUACCAUUUCACAGGCAGUUCUGUGUCAUCGGACGACCUGAAAAAGAUUGUCUUUGAGAUUAUUGUGGAGUGCGAGAAAAUU
Ixodes scapularis (black-legged tick) is the source of this 423-nucleotide long non-coding RNA. RefSeq lists it as uncharacterized. NCBI's taxonomy places the organism in Eukaryota, Metazoa, Arthropoda, Arachnida, Ixodida, Ixodidae. The record is from RefSeq and is a predicted model, not a curated record. The transcript is spliced from 3 exons.